UACGGAGGGUGCAAGCGUUAUCCGGAUUCACUGGGUUUAAAGGGUGCGUAGGUGGGCAGGUAAGUCAGUGGUGAAAUCUCCGGGCUCAACCCGGAAACUGCCAUUGAUACUAUCAGUCUUGAAUAUCGUGGAGGUAAGCGGAAUAUGUCAUGUAGCGGUGAAAUGCUUAGAUAUGACAUAGAACACCAAUUGCGAAGGCAGCUUACUACACGUACUAUUGACACUGAGGCACGAAAGCGUGGGGAUCAAACAGG
Molecule: ribosomal RNA, 254 nt
Filed under: uncultured bacterium
Lineage: Bacteria
Description: partial 16S ribosomal RNA
Rfam family: Bacterial small subunit ribosomal RNA
Source: RNAcentral